AGCAGUAGCGCGGUAAUACAGAGGGUGCGAGCGUUAAUCGGAUUUACUGGGCGUAAAGCGUGCGUAGGCGGCUUCUUAAGUCGGAUGUGAAAUCCCUGAGCUUAACUUAGGAAUUGCAUUCGAUACUGGGAAGCUAGAGUAUGGGAGAGGAUGGUAGAAUUCCAGGUGUAGCGGUGAAAUGCGUAGAGAUCUGGAGGAAUACCGAUGGCGAAGGCAGCCAUCUGGCCUAAUACUGACGCUGAGGUACGAAAGCAUGGGGAGCAAACAGGAUUAGAGACCCCAGUAGUCCCUGUCUCUUAUACA
Molecule: ribosomal RNA, 303 nt
Filed under: uncultured bacterium
Lineage: Bacteria
Description: partial 16S ribosomal RNA
Rfam family: Bacterial small subunit ribosomal RNA
Source: RNAcentral